This 497-nucleotide ribosomal RNA is filed under the name uncultured bacterium. RNAcentral's name for it is "partial 16S ribosomal RNA". It matches the Rfam family "Bacterial small subunit ribosomal RNA", at positions 28 to 507 of the family's 1533-position model. The record is from RNAcentral.
GAUGAACGCUGGCGGCGUGCCUAAUACAUGCAAGUCGAGCGAACAGACGAGGAGCUUGCUCCUCUGACGUUAGCGGCGGACGGGUGAGUAACACGUGGAUAACCUACCUAUAAGACUGGGAUAACUUCGGGAAACCGGAGCUAAUACCGGAUAAUAUAUUGAACCGCAUGGUUCAAUAGUGAAAGACGGUUUUGCUGUCACUUAUAGAUGGAUCCGCGCCGCAUUAGCUAGUUGGUAAGGUAACGGCUUACCAAGGCGACGAUGCGUAGCCGACCUGAGAGGGGGAGCGGCAACACUGGAACUGAGACACGGUCCAGACUCCUACGGGAGGCAGCAGUAGGGAAUCUUCAGCAAUGGGCGAAAGCCUGACGGAGCAACGCAGCGUGAGUGAUGAAGGUAUUCGGAUCGUAAAACUCUGUUAUUAGGGAAGAACAAAUGGGUAAGUAACUAUGCACGUCUUGACGGUACCUAAUCAGAAAGCCACGGCUAACUACGUG